UACAGAGGGUGCGAGCGUUAAUCGGAAUUACUGGGCGUAAAGGGCUCGUAGGCGGCCAACUAAGUCAGACGUGAAAUCCCCAGGCUCAACCUGGGAACUGCGUCUGAUACUGGAUGGCUUGAAUUCGGGAGAGGGAUGCAGAAUUCCAGGUGUAGCGGUGAAAUGCGUAGAUAUCUGGAGGAAUACCGGUGGCGAAGGCGGGUCUCUGGGCCGAGAUCGACGCUGAGGAGCGAAAGCGUGGGGAGCGAACAGG
This 253-nucleotide ribosomal RNA is filed under the name uncultured bacterium. RNAcentral's name for it is "partial 16S ribosomal RNA". It matches the Rfam family "Bacterial small subunit ribosomal RNA", at positions 524 to 776 of the family's 1533-position model. The record is from RNAcentral.